RNAcentral lists this ribosomal RNA (416 nucleotides) under uncultured bacterium. RNAcentral's name for it is "bacterial SSU rRNA". It matches the Rfam family "Bacterial small subunit ribosomal RNA", at positions 29 to 423 of the family's 1533-position model. The record is from RNAcentral.
AACGAACGCUGGCGGCGUGGAUAAGACAUGCAAGUCGAACGCUAAUUUCAGGGUAGCAAUAUUCUGAGGUUGGAGUGGCGCAAGGGUGCGUAACACGUGGGUAAUUUGCCGUGAAGUUGGGGGAUAACUCGCUGAAAGGCGAGCUAAUACCGAAUGUGAAAAUUGGGAGGCAUCUUCUGAUUUUCAAAGUUGGGGACCGCAAGGCCUGACGCUUCUCGAUAAGCCCGCGGCCAUCAGCUAGUUGGUGAGGUAAUGGCUCACCAAGGCUAAGACGGGGUAGCUGGUCUGAGAGGACGACCAGUCACACUGGAACUGAGACACGGUCCAGACACCUACGGGUGCAGCAGUCGAGAAUUUUUCUCAAUGGGCGAAAGCCUGAAGGAGCGACGCCGCGUGGGGGAUGAAGGGCUUCGGCU